AUGACGAGUCGUGGCAGUGGUGGCGGCUAUUGUUUACCGCCUCCCCGGGCACCACGGAGUGCCCUUCGUGGGCAAGCAUCCGGCUCCGGCACUCCCUUCGACAAUGGUGAUGAAGAAUUGGAGGACGAUGUGGAGGAGUUAGCGAGCUCCGGAGGUCCCCUGGUGAGCCAAAGCAGUCGAGCCCACUGGAAUGAUGCUAAUAGUGCUUGCUUGUUAGAAUUGUGCAUUCAGCAACGUGCAGCAGGAACAUAUAAUGGUACAGUGAUGAGUGGUGAAGGGUACCAAGCCAUUAUCGACGGCUUACCUGCUAGAAGGGGGUUGGUAUAUAGCCGUUUGCAGGUGAAGAACCAGAUAGUCGUACUCAAAAACACUUACAAUUUCUGGCGAUACAUGCAAGUGCAUACAGGGUUGGGGAGGAAACCAGAUGGAACCAUUGAUGCCGACUCUGAGUUCUGGAUAACACACACAGAGAAGAAACCAUACCUACGGAAGUUGCAGUGGGGUCCUCCAGCAAACGAGGAGUUGCUUGAUCAAUUGUUCAGAGGUUACACUGUGGAUGGAAGCACAACCUUUGUGCCUGGAGAUGAUUACGGUCAGAAUCAAGGGCGAGAUUUAGGUGCAGGAGAGGAAGAGGAGGAGUUUCAAGGAACACCUACAAGCAACCAGAGGAGCCAGAGAUGCAAGAGGUCAACAAGCACUUCGAGCACUUUGACCAGUCCAUUGAAGAAGAGCAAGAGCCCAAUGGUGAAGAUUGUGAAGGACAUAGCUAGUACCUUCAAGGAGUCUGUUGCAGCCAACACUAAGCAAAUGCAGAAACAUGCAAAUGAGAAGGCUGCAUUUUCUGUGAAGAGGUGUCAGGAGCUAGCAUUUGAGUGUGGCAUUGAGCAAACAAUUGACUCUGUCUAUGCUCUGUCCAAGAUGUUCGAAACGGAGUACCAAAGGGAGUUCUUCUGUGGCCUAUUAACACACGAGCUUAGGUUGGGUUACUUCAAGAAAUGGUGCAGGGACAACAAUUUGGAGUAG
Molecule: ribosomal RNA, 1023 nt
Filed under: Triticum aestivum (bread wheat)
Lineage: Eukaryota; Viridiplantae; Streptophyta; Magnoliopsida; Poales; Poaceae
Description: partial small subunit ribosomal RNA
Source: RNAcentral